GUUUUUACAUUUUUUGCAACAUAAAAUAAAUACAAUAAAGCUUAUAUUGUGCAUCCGGAUUGCUCCGGAGCGCAUAUUGCACAAGGUGCAACUGAUUUGUUAAUGAUCCUUCCGCAGGUUCACCUACGGAAA
RNAcentral lists this unclassified non-coding RNA (132 nucleotides) under uncultured fungus. RNAcentral's name for it is "sequence contains ITS1". The record is from RNAcentral. Lineage: Eukaryota; Fungi.